GACGAACCAUCCAAACGUUAUUCGGAAUUACUGGGCUUAAAGGGUGCGUAGGCGGUCUAUUAAGUCAGUGGUGAAAGCCCCAAGCUCAACUUGGGAACUGCCAUUGAUACUGAUGGACUUGAGUACAUUUGAGGUGGGCGGAAUGUGUCAUGUAGCGGUGAAAUGCUUAGAUAUGACACAGAACACCGAUUGCGAAGGCAGCUCGCUAAACUGUAACUGACGCUGAGGCACGAAAGCGUGGGGAGCAAACAGG
RNAcentral lists this ribosomal RNA (253 nucleotides) under uncultured bacterium. Its description in RNAcentral is "partial 16S ribosomal RNA". It matches the Rfam family "Bacterial small subunit ribosomal RNA", at positions 524 to 776 of the family's 1533-position model. The record is from RNAcentral.